Molecule: ribosomal RNA, 465 nt
Filed under: uncultured bacterium
Lineage: Bacteria
Description: bacterial SSU rRNA
Rfam family: Bacterial small subunit ribosomal RNA
Source: RNAcentral
CCUACGGGUCGCACCAGUGGGGAAUAUUGCACAAUGGGCGCAAGCCUGAUGCAGCCAUGCCGCGUGUAUGAAGAAGGCCUUCGGGUUGUAAAGUACUUUCAGCGAGGAGGAAGGCAUCAAGGUUAAUAACCUCGGUGAUUGACGUUACUCGCAGAAGAAGCACCGGCUAACUCCGUGCCAGCAGCCGCGGUAAUACGGAGGGUGCAAGCGUUAAUCGGAAUUACUGGGCGUAAAGCGCACGCAGGCGGUCUGUCAAGUCGGAUGUGAAAUCCCCGGGCUCAACCAGGGAACUGCAUUCGAAACUGGCAGGCUAGAGUCUUGUAGAGGGGGGUAGAAUUCCAGGUGUAGCGGUGAAAUGCGUAGAGAUCUGGAGGAAUACCGGUGGCGAGGGCGGCCCCCUGGACAAAGACUGACGCUCAGGUGCGAAAGCGUGGGGAGCAAACAGGAUUAGAUACCCUAGUAGUC